RNAcentral lists this ribosomal RNA (450 nucleotides) under uncultured bacterium. RNAcentral describes it as "partial 16S ribosomal RNA". It matches the Rfam family "Bacterial small subunit ribosomal RNA", at positions 354 to 796 of the family's 1533-position model. The record is from RNAcentral.
GUGGGGAAUAUUGCACAAUGGGCGCAAGCCUGAUGCAGCCAUGCCGCGUGUGUGAAGAAGGCCUUCGGGUUGUAAAGCACUUUCAGCGGGGAGGAAGGCGAUAAGGUUAAUAACCUUGUCGAUUGACGUUACCCGCAGAAGAAGCACCGGCUAACUCCGUGCCAGCAGCCGCGGUAAUAUGGAGGGUGCAAGCGUUAAUCGGAAUUACUGGGCGUAAAGCGCACGCAGGCGGUCUGUCAAGUCGGAUGUGAAAUCCCCGGGCUCAACCUGGGAACUGCAUUCGAAACUGGCAGGGGAGAGUCUUGUAGAGGGGGGUAGAAUUCCAUGUGUAGCGGUGAAAUGCGUAGAGAUCUGGAGGAAUACCGGUGGCGAAGGCGGCCCCCUGGACAAAGACUGACGCUCAGGUGCGAAAGCGUGGGGAGCAAACAGGAUUAGAUACCCUAGUAGUCC